Molecule: long non-coding RNA, 574 nt
Organism: Camponotus floridanus (Florida carpenter ant)
Lineage: Eukaryota; Metazoa; Arthropoda; Insecta; Hymenoptera; Formicidae
Exons: 3
Source: RefSeq, a predicted model, not a curated record
CUCGUCAAGGCAAGUCAACUCGAGAAAGUCAGAUGCAAGUAGUCCUCUAAGCGUUGAAUCUCCAUAGUGAUACGUUAAAGUUAAAUACAUCGAUUUGUCGAUAAUCGAAAACAUAUCUAAGAUAUAAUAAUGUGUUGUUUGUUAGGACUGCUCUUGUCCUCAAUGUAUACAGAUUGUUUUUGUUGACCACAUUUUGACGUCAUUUUAUCGUUCGAAUCUUUCUGCCUAGUCGGCUAUGUGCGUGCUGAGUGUUCGUGUCGUUUCUGUUGCGUCUUCUCGAGUCCGAUGUAUCGCUCUUUGCGCUUUGCACUGCUUAGAGGGCUACUUGCAUCUGGCUUUCUCGAGUUGACUUGCCUUGACGAGUUUGCGUCGCUCUCUAAGACUAUGCACAAUCACUGAAGAAGACUCGAACUGAGUCCGAAACGUUUGAUGUCAAUAAAGAAGAAAGAUCGUUUAAUAUGAUUGUUUUCAUGGAUAAUUUUAAAAAAACGCCUUUCAACUGCGUUGGCUCUUUAUGGCCUCUUACUAUAUUUUAUUUUAAUUUGUUAAUAAUAAAAAUGUAAUAAUAACAGAA